GAGGGUAGAGCUCAGUGGUAGAGCACAUGCUUAACAGGCAGGAGGUCCUGAAUUUAAUCCCCGGUACCUCCA
RNAcentral lists this transfer RNA (72 nucleotides) under Camelus bactrianus (Bactrian camel). It matches the Rfam family "tRNA". Rfam says of the family: Transfer RNA (tRNA) molecules are approximately 80 nucleotides in length. Their secondary structure includes four short double-helical elements and three loops (D, anti-codon, and T loops). The record is from Rfam by way of RNAcentral. Lineage: Eukaryota; Metazoa; Chordata; Mammalia; Artiodactyla; Camelidae. RNAcentral also lists the same sequence under 1 other name.